Nematostella vectensis (starlet sea anemone) is the source of this 2974-nucleotide long non-coding RNA. RefSeq lists it as uncharacterized. The transcript has 2 exons. Lineage: Eukaryota; Metazoa; Cnidaria; Anthozoa; Actiniaria; Edwardsiidae. The record is from RefSeq and is a predicted model, not a curated record.
CACAACGAACUUUUUUUGUCUUUUAAAAGGCUUUGCCGACUUUUUAGAAUAAUCUAUUAUUCUAAAAAAUUAUAAGCUGAUCGUGAUAAUAAAACGAACAAGAGAUUUGCUGAAAGUCAGUUUUUCUCGGUUUUGUGUACAAUAUGUUCGCAUCCUAGUGUUGACUUUUCCAUCAUGCAUAUUAUAAUACGGUUUUAGUUCAAUUUAUUCCUGACUUCCCGACAAGCAAAAAUGGAUUCGUUUUUAUCCCCUACUUGUUCGACUGUGCGACUUCUAUGACCAAUUUCGUUGUUGUUAAUGGUGCGGGGUUUUUUUCUAAUUUACCAUAAGACGCAAAAACUUAGUGCGAUUAAAAGCGAAAGACAAUUUACCGGAAAUAAGUCCUUUUUGAUUUUUUUCCUAUCUGACAUGCAGAACCCCUCGCAGAAGAAAGCCACUUUGUUAUUUAGUGUGUGUGCAGCUUAGAGAGAAGUGUUUUCGGAAUAAAAGUGACGGUUCUUAGCUUACUAGGCUAUUAAGAAUUCGAACAGUCGAAUAAUCAAAAUCUCUCGGUUUUCAGUGUUUCAAAACAAAAUUACUAAAAGGUACUGGUCUGGCGAUUCCUAUCAGAAAAAAAUAAUAUGCCUAGAACCCCUCAUUGCUAUCUUAUCGAUGCGCGUCUGAAAAGUACCUAUUUUUUGGUACAUAUGAACGCACUAUGCUUAAUUGUAUAUUUUUAUAUAGGGAUUCUUAUAUACAAUGUUUUCCCUUUUUUCAUAAAUAUUAUAGGCUUAGUGCAGGUGUGAUAUUAAGCCCUUUAAAACACCUUUUGAGACUUAGGAGGAUAUUUAAAUGCAGUGCGCCCUUCAAGAUGUUUCAUUUAAAAAAAUGGCAUUACUUUACUUUAAACUUCGCAUAGUGCAUCAUUUUGCAUUGAGGAUGUUGACAGUGGAACUAAACACAUAGGCAGUAAUAAUAGUAUACUACUGGAUUCUAAAAUAAGGAGCUUUUCCACCAAAUCAGGUCUCCUGUCCAAAAAUAAACUUAUCAACUGUCGCAAAAGUCAAGUUAACCUUUGUAUGUCUUCACUUUUUUUCCUAUUAUCUUAUUUAUCUUCAUUUCCAAUUUCCCUGCUUGAUUAACUCGAAUUCAAAAUAUAAAGCUUCCAAAGUCCAAACAUGAAUAUUUUGUUCUUAGAAGUACCUCCAUUCAUAUUUUUACCAGAUAAUUUUAUUUUUCUCUCGUGACAUUUACCGUGCACGCGUUGUAGCAAAUUUUGUUUCGCGAAACGAACUGCGAUUUUCGUCGCAACUCCAGAUCGCAGUGGGCUGAGACGCGACGCUAUUUGUUGGAAAAUGGUUGCAAAUGGCUUUUUAUACGGUUAAUUAUUGUAUCUGAAUACGUUUGAUUUAAAAGUUUGCAGCAAUUUAUUGCAUAAAAAUUUCGAACACGUUAGAUUACCGCUAUAAAUUUGCAGUCUGUCGACUAAUCACGAGCUUGCAGGCUUAUGACACGUGCAAUUUUGGGGUGCGAUUAAAUCGUCGCAAGAAUCGCAUCUCGUCUUGUUCUGCUAGUGCGAGCGGAUCUGCACUUGUUGCAUCCUUUUUAUCCGCGAAAUGAACCGUGCGGGAAUAGAAGUCCCCCCCCCCCCCAUUUCCCCACUUUCCACAGAGGUUUUUCCUUUGUGAUUGCUUCCCCCCAACCCCACCCUCCCCCCCUUAAACACACAUACACACAGACUACCGAAUUUUCGGCAUAACUUUGGGUCUGGAAAGGAUCUCUUAUGAUAAAUUACAAACUUCAGUCUAAACAAGAGCUGCCGAAUGCAACUACAGUAAACACUCUACCAUUCAAAUAUAGAAAUACAUUUAAGUAAAAGUUGCGAAUUAUUUUGGUGCAAAAAUCACAAAAAAUUAGACUAGUUAGGACUAGUUGACUAGUCCAGUAAGCUAAUGAAAACUAAAGAUAAAUGAAGGUAAAAUCAAUUAAUUGAUCGUUGUAAUAUAUAAGAAAAAUGCAAAAUGAGAAAUGAGUACAAAAUAUAUAACCUUUAUCAAUGCAUCAUGAUAUGAGGAAGUACGUGCCUACCUGGUAAUGUAAUCUGGGUAAUGGGGGAAAGAAUACGAUUACUUGAUAUUUGUUCAAUUUUUUUCUUAUCCCUUAAUCUUCCCUCGAGAGUUUCAGGACGCCAUCAUUCUAGAAACAACUGAUUAAAAAUGUGAUAAAAACUGUUAUGAAUAUCUUUAAAUCAAUUUUCAACACUAGUAUGAGUACAUAACACAAGGCGUUGUUUUGAAGUAAUGGGAAUCAGGAAAUGCUAUUUCUAAAAUACGCCAGUUAGUUGCUAAAAUAAUAAAAAGAUGAAAUAUUUAAAAUAAAGGUGAUAGAAUUAAUUAAAAGGUCUGUCCUAACACAGGGUGUGAAAUUAUAAGAGAAAUUGAUCUUGAGUCUACACGUAAGCUCCAAAACGCUUCUCCUAAAAUUAUAUUUUCAUAGUCAUAGAAUUUCAAAUGGAGUCUGUAAAAAAGUCAAAAUUAAACUAUGGUACUAAAAAAGGUUCUAAUAAAGAAUCGGAUUCAAGGUCUCGAUUCACAAACAAUAAUACGCAUUGCCAAUCUUGACUCAGCAAUACAUAGUCUCAGUUUUCAUGGGCUUAGUGUUUUAUUGCGCACGCGGGAAUGGGUGGCAGCUGUGUACACACAGACGAAAGCUCAUCCGUGUUGAGCGCACUUUCCACCCUUCAAGAAAAAUUAUGGUAGAAAACGUAAAACAAAACGCGUUCAAACUUGAGACGUUUCAAAUAUAAAAGUGUUUAACGACUCAUCAUGGCUAAAUAUGAAUCAUAGGCUCAUCAUCGGCACCACAACCUUAUCAUCAUCACAGCAUGGACGAAAUUAAAUACAUCAAUCACCCACCACAGAUGUACGUUAAAUAGCUUCAAGAAAAUACUAAAUCACAUUUAAACACUUUUAACACGAAAUAAACAAAUACCAAA